RNAcentral lists this ribosomal RNA (793 nucleotides) under uncultured archaeon. Its description in RNAcentral is "bacterial SSU rRNA". It matches the Rfam family "Archaeal small subunit ribosomal RNA", at positions 85 to 879 of the family's 1478-position model. The record is from RNAcentral.
ACUGCUCAGUAACACGUAGUCAAUCUACCCUAUGGACGGGAAUAACCUCGGGAAACUGAGAAUAAUGCCCGAUAGAACAUUAUGCCUGGAAUGGUUUAUGUUUCAAAUGAUUUAUCGCCAUAGGAUGGGACUGCGGCCUAUCAGUUUGUUGGUGAGGUAAUGGCCCACCAAGACUAUUACAGGUACGGGCUCUGAGAGGAGUAGCCCGGAGAUGGGUACUGAGACACGGACCCAGGCCCUAUGGGGCGCAGCAGGCGAGAAAACUUUGCAAUGUGCGAAAGCACGACAAGGUUAAUCCGAGUGGUUUCUGCUAAAGAAACCUUUUGUCAGUCCUAGAAACACUAACGAAUAAGGGGUGGGCAAGUUCUGGUGUCAGCCGCCGCGGUAAAACCAGCACCUCAAGUGGUCAGGAUGAUUAUUGGGCCUAAAGCAUCCGUAGCCCGUUUUGUAAGUUUUCGGUUAAAUCCAUGCGCUUAACGUAUGGGCUGCCGGGAAUACUGCAUAACUAGGAAGUGGGAGAGGUAGACGGUACUCGGUAGGAAGGGGUAAAAUCCUUUGAUCUAUUGAUGACCACCUGUGGCGAAGGCGGUCUACCAGAACACGUUCGACGGUGAGGGAUGAAAGCUGGGGGAGCAAACCGGAUUAGAUACCCGGGUAGUCCCAGCUGUAAACUAUGCAAACUCAGUGAUGCAUUGGCUUAUGGCCAAUGCAGUGCUGCAGGGAAGCCGUUAAGUUUGCCGCCUGGGAAGUACGUACGCAAGUAUGAAACUUAAAGGAAUUGGCGGGGGAGCAC